RNAcentral lists this ribosomal RNA (253 nucleotides) under uncultured bacterium. Its description in RNAcentral is "partial 16S ribosomal RNA". It matches the Rfam family "Bacterial small subunit ribosomal RNA", at positions 524 to 776 of the family's 1533-position model. The record is from RNAcentral.
UACAGAGGAGCCAAGCGUUGUCCGGAUUGACUGGGCGUAAAGCGCACGCAGGCGGCAUCGCGCGUGGGGUGUGAAAUCUGGCCGCUUAACGGCCAGGCGCCAUCCCAUACGGCGAGGCUGGAGCGAUGCAGAGGUCGGUGGAAUUCCCGGUGUAGCGGUGAAAUGCGCAGAUAUCGGGAGGAACACCAGUAGCGAAGGCGGCUCGCUGGGCCAUUCCUGACGCUGAGACGCGAAAGCUAGGGGAGCGAACAGG